RNAcentral lists this ribosomal RNA (301 nucleotides) under uncultured bacterium. RNAcentral's name for it is "partial 16S ribosomal RNA". It matches the Rfam family "Bacterial small subunit ribosomal RNA", at positions 509 to 807 of the family's 1533-position model. The record is from RNAcentral.
CAGCCGCCGCGGUAAUACGGAGGGCGCGAGCGUUACCCGGAUUUACUGGGCGUAAAGGGCGUGUAGGCGGCCUGGGGCGUCCCAUGUGAAGGGCCACGGCUCAACCGUGGAGGAGCGUGGGAUACGCUCAGGCUAGAGGGUGGGAGAGGGUGGUGGAAUUCCCGGAGUAGCGGUGAAAUGCGCAGAUACCGGGAGGAACGCCGAUGGCGAAGGCAGCCACCUGGUCCACUUCUGACGCUGAGGCGCGAAAGCGUGGGGAGCAAACAGGAUUAGAUACCCCUGUAGUCCCUGUCUCUUAUAC